GACGAACCGUGCGAACGUUAUUCGGAAUCACUGGGCUUAAAGCGCGUGUAGGCGGAUGAGCACGUCUGUCGCUGAAAUCCCCCGGCUCAACCGGGGAACGGGCGCGGAUACGGCUUGUCUGGAGGGGCGUAGGGGGACCUGGAACUUCCGGUGGAGCGGUGAAAUGCGUUGAGAUCGGAAGGAACGCCCGUGGCGAAAGCGAGGUCCUGGACGCCUACUGACGCUGAGACGCGAAAGCCAGGGGAGCGAACGGG
RNAcentral lists this ribosomal RNA (254 nucleotides) under uncultured bacterium. RNAcentral describes it as "partial 16S ribosomal RNA". It matches the Rfam family "Bacterial small subunit ribosomal RNA", at positions 524 to 776 of the family's 1533-position model. The record is from RNAcentral.